AUGGAGCUGAAAUGGAUGGAGGAAUUAAACAGCUGGAAUGGCAGAAGUUGGACGAUGAGGUUGUGUUGGCGGAGGCUGAGUGGAGGUCUUCAGACAGAAACAAAAGGUGUUGGGCUGCUAGGGAGUAGGAAGGUUGAGUCUAUGAACGGAGCUACUACAGAGGGUUACCGACAUAAACAGGCGGAGGGAGUGUUAUGA
Non-coding RNA from Vicia faba (fava bean), 198 nucleotides. The record is from the annotation of a GenBank genome assembly. NCBI's taxonomy places the organism in Eukaryota, Viridiplantae, Streptophyta, Magnoliopsida, Fabales, Fabaceae.